CAUUAGGUGACUGAAAGUAAGUACUGGUCUCUUAAACCACUUUAUAGUAAUUAACACCUACUCCUAAUGA
This 70-nucleotide transfer RNA is filed under the name Palaeoagraecia brunnea. RNAcentral describes it as "tRNA-Lys". Lineage: Eukaryota; Metazoa; Arthropoda; Insecta; Orthoptera; Tettigoniidae. The record is from RNAcentral.